CCCUGAGGUGAGCUGCUGCCAUGACCACACGCUCUUAUUAUAAAGUGCUGCCUUGCCACAGGUCCAAAAGCCAUGGAGCCAACUGGUCAUGAACGGAAAUCUUCAAAACUGUGAGACAGAGUACACGUUUCCUCUGUCUAAGUUGAUUAUCUAAGUUCGGGUGAUUGUGCCUUUGUGCCUGCCAGGCGAACACUCAGCCCCUGAGCUACAUCCUAGCAUACUCCAGCUGUUGAACGCUGAUCUUUCCCCAGGCUUUAGCUAAGUGGUACAGUCUCUGUGAUGCUGUGGGUGGCAGUGAAUCCUAGCUCCCAGUCAGUGACUGUGAUAAAGAAGGUGAACAACUGACUCUAUGGUGUGCUUUGCUGGUAAACUAUGCUGUUCAGCAGGUUGGGUGAAUUAAACAUUUUGCUUGCUUGCUUUUUGA
Molecule: long non-coding RNA, 424 nt
Filed under: Mus musculus (house mouse)
Lineage: Eukaryota; Metazoa; Chordata; Mammalia; Rodentia; Muridae
Description: predicted gene, 39059
Source: RNAcentral